Molecule: long non-coding RNA, 1209 nt
Filed under: Monodelphis domestica (gray short-tailed opossum)
Lineage: Eukaryota; Metazoa; Chordata; Mammalia; Didelphimorphia; Didelphidae
Description: lncRNA (ENSMODG00000045364.1)
Source: RNAcentral
GUGAAAGACAAAAGUUUAAGACAAAACUAAAGGAUUUCUAAUUCAAGGACAGCAAGAGGUCAUUAGAAAAGUGAAUGAGACCAACCACUUUAUUGUCCUUAUAACAAUUAUGGAUUUUCUAAUGUUAGGCAACUAGGUGGUUGUAGAAUUUCUACAUUAAUAGAACAUCACUAUGCAAUAAUGAUCAUGGCUUCUAUUUUCCCCCAACAAGAUUGUCAUUGAAAUAAUGAAAGCUUAUGAAAGAAUAGAAAGGAAAUUUUAUAGAAGAAGAAAAUAGGACCCAUGACAGAGCACUGGGGGAUUUCCAUGGUUAAUGGGUAUGAUAGAGGUGAAGAUCGAGCAAAGGAGACAGAAAAAAAGUUCAGACAUGCAGAAGAACUGGAAGAGAGCUGUUUCAUGAAAACCUAUAGAGAAGAGAGCAUCCAGGAGGAGAGUAAUUGACAAUUUUAAAGGCUAUAGAGAGGUCAAGAGAAUUGAAGAUCAAGAAAAGGCUGUGAGAUUUGCCAAUUAAGAUAUCAUCCCUAGCUUUGGAGAGAGCAGUUUUAUUUGAAUAAUGAGGUCAGAAGUUAGAGCAAAGGGAGUUAAGAAGAAAGGAAAGAAAAUAUUGGCACCUGUUAAAGAUGAUUUUUUCAAACGAGUUUAUUAAGAAAUAGAAGAAGAGGUAGAUAAAGCAAUGAAAAGCUUGGUAACUUAUAUCCAUGCUGAAUUCUCUUAUUAGGAUAUUAGCACAUCAAGCACAUAUUCUCUCCUUUUAUCUCUCUCUUUCCACCUUCUGGAGAUGGCAAGUAAUAUGAUAUACAUAAGUGAUGGUGAAUCUUUUAGAAAGGUGGGAGAUGUCCUCAGGUGCACAUGGAGAAGAGGAGGGCAGCAGCCUCUAGCAUUUCUACAACAAGAUUGAAGAAUUGUGCUAAUAAUAAUGGACAUCUCUGCUUCACCUCUGAUUUUAUUGCAUGCUCAGAAGACCUGACGUGGGCAAAACAUUGUAAAAACAUAGAGGAAAGUGAAAGGAAGUGGAUUAAAUAAUUUACAAUUUAUUUCCUUAAAGAGUAAUUAUUGAGCCUGGGACAAAUAGCACAAAAGCUAUUCAAAAAAAUCAGCACCUUAGCUAACUAAUGGCAGAGUGUAGAUGAAAGAACUCACUCAUGGUAAUCAAUUCUUAAAGACGGUUUCCAAAAUAAAAGCAUAAAAAUGGAACCUUUUAGUUUUAAC